CAUUCAAUCAUACACGGAUCAUUCCCUUUCUCAAAGUUUCCUAUUCUCAUGCAAAUACUUAAAAACUUUCUCCACCUACCAAAAAUUUCCUUCCAACAAUUGAUAGUUUGAUCGUAACUAUCACUUUUUCACUGUUCCUGCGCUUAAUAAAACAAAUCCAGAUUUUAACUUUAAAUUCUACGACCUACUACUUAUCUGAUUCAAAUACAAACUUAAUAUGAUUCAAUGGUUGCCAUGAGUUUUAUUUAAAUAUUGUUUCAUCCGAACAAUUGAAGAUGGAGUUUGUUCAUUCUGCAGAAAUUUUUAUUGUGCAAUUAGAUUGGGUUCUUGUCAGAGUUAUAUUUUUCUUUUUAACGACCGUGAUUUCCUUGAUUAAAUAUGUUGAUAUUCAAAAUGCAACGGAUGCAUCUGCAAGUGUUAAUCCUUCAUGGCUUCCAUCACAUUGAAAAUGAAUUCACGUGUGAUAGUAAUAGAGAUGAUUUACACAGCUAGAGGAAGGCAACAUUUGUUAGGAAUAGAGACGAUUUACACAGCUAGUGGAAGGCAACAUUUUUUUGAUAUACAGUAAGAGGAUGACAACAUUUGUGUGAUAGGAAUAAAGAUGAUAUACACAACAUCAAGAAAACAAUUCUUUGUUUGAUAAGAACACAAAUGAUAUAUACAAUCAUCGAAAAGACAACAUUUGUUUGAUAGAAACAAAAAUUAUAUAUACAACUAUAGGAAGAAUUAUUUCACUGUCUUUUUAUUUUAUUGUAUAAGGUUAAAUAUCAAGACAACUCACAUGUAUUUUAAGUUAGCAUUUUGAGUUCAUGUUGAAAUUUUUAAAAUUCAAGGACAAGUUAUUAAAUGUAAGAAUUGAUUGUUCCCAAUAAUUUUGUUAAAUAUAAUUGCGUUAAAAUUA
Molecule: long non-coding RNA, 901 nt
Organism: Lathyrus oleraceus (garden pea)
Lineage: Eukaryota; Viridiplantae; Streptophyta; Magnoliopsida; Fabales; Fabaceae
Exons: 3
Source: RefSeq, a predicted model, not a curated record